Molecule: long non-coding RNA, 323 nt
Organism: Oreochromis niloticus (Nile tilapia)
Lineage: Eukaryota; Metazoa; Chordata; Actinopteri; Cichliformes; Cichlidae
Exons: 3
Source: RefSeq, a predicted model, not a curated record
GAGAAAGCAAGGAGAGAAGAAGAAGGACAACAAAAACAUAAGACCCCAAUAGAAAAGCAGACCACAUUUUAUCAACCGAUCCCAGCUGAUUGGAGCACUAUUUAUGAUGGCGGACCUGUGUCAUUCUUCGCUGGAUCGUUGAGCCAUCAGCAUCUGCCCUUGACCUGAGUGAGCGUGUGUGUAUUUGGAAUCUGCUGAGGAGAGGAGCUUGUAUAAGAUUAAUCCCUGUUUUCCCCUGGACCCUGAAGCCCCGGACCCCUUUCCCUGCCCCACUGUAUAUAUAUAUUCCCACCUGGUGUUUCACUGUAAAUAAAUGCACUGUC